GCCGAUGUAGCUCAGGGGUAGAGUAGCUGAUUCGUAAUCAGUUUGCCGUGGGUUCAAUUCCCAUCAUCGGCU
This 72-nucleotide transfer RNA is filed under the name Stanieria cyanosphaera PCC 7437. Its description in RNAcentral is "tRNA-Thr (CGT) (tRNA-Thr-CGT-1-1)". It matches the Rfam family "tRNA". Rfam says of the family: Transfer RNA (tRNA) molecules are approximately 80 nucleotides in length. Their secondary structure includes four short double-helical elements and three loops (D, anti-codon, and T loops). Further hydrogen bonds mediate the characteristic L-shaped molecular structure. tRNAs have two regions of fundamental functional importance: the anti-codon, which is responsible for specific mRNA codon recognition, and the 3' end, to which the tRNAs corresponding amino acid is attached (by aminoacyl-tRNA synthetases). tRNAs cope with the degeneracy of the genetic code in two manners: having more than one tRNA (with a specific anti-codon) for a particular amino acid; and 'wobble' base-pairing, i.e. permitting non-standard base-pairing at the 3rd anti-codon position. The record is from Rfam by way of RNAcentral. Lineage: Bacteria; Bacillati; Cyanobacteriota; Cyanophyceae; Pleurocapsales; Dermocarpellaceae.